This 498-nucleotide unclassified non-coding RNA is filed under the name Hevea brasiliensis (rubber tree). The record is from RNAcentral. Lineage: Eukaryota; Viridiplantae; Streptophyta; Magnoliopsida; Malpighiales; Euphorbiaceae.
CAGAGUUCCAGUUGCAUGUGUCUUUCAUUGAGAUACACAAAGAAGAAGUACGAGAUUUGCUGGAUUCUGUGUCUGUUAACAAAUCAGAGACAGCAAAUGGACACAAUGGAAAAGUAACUAUUCCUGGGAAACCCCCAAUACAAAUUCGUGAAUCUUCAAAUGGUGUUAUUACAUUGGCAGGAUCCACCGAACGCAGUGUAAGAACACUCAAAGAAAUGGCAGACUGUCUGGAGCAAGGAUCACUUAGCAGAGCCACAGGCAGUACAAACAUGAAUAACCAAUCCAGUCGCUCUCAUGCCAUAUUCACCAUUUCAAUGGAGCAGAUGCGCAAGACCGGUUCUAAUGAUGGCAAUAGCAAUGAAUGCAUGACUGAAGAAUAUCUUUGUGCUAAGCUGCAUUUGGUAGAUCUUGCUGGUUCAGAGAGAGCUAAACGAACAGGAUCAGACGGUCUCCGUUUUAAAGAAGGAGUUCACAUUAAUAGAGGCCUUCUUGCACUUG